AGAGUUUGAUCAUGGCUCAGAACGAACGUUGGCGGCGUGCUUAACACAUGCAAGUCGAACGAGAAAGUUUUCUUCGGAGAACGAGUAAAGUGGCGCACGGGCGAGUAACGCGUAAGUAAUCUACCCUUGCAUUCGGGAUAACUACGGGAAGCUGUAGCUAAUACCGGAUACGUUCAUAGAGUUACGACUCUAUGAAGAAAGAUGACCUCUUCUUGAAAGUUAUCGUGCAGGGAGGAGCUUGCGUACCACUAGCUAGUUGGUAGGGUAAAGGCCUACCAAGGCAACGAUGGUUAGCGGGUCUGAGAGGAUGAUCCGCCACACUGGAACUGAAACACGGACCAGACUCCUACGGGAGGCAGCAGUGAGGAAUAUUGCGCGAUGGGGGAAACCCUGACGCAGCGACGCCGCGUGGAUGAUGAAGGCCUUCGGGUCGUAAAAUCCUGUCAGAUGGGAAGAAAUGCAUAGGGGAAUAAUACCUCUUAUGUUGACGGUACCAUCAA
This 500-nucleotide ribosomal RNA is filed under the name uncultured bacterium. Its description in RNAcentral is "bacterial SSU rRNA". It matches the Rfam family "Bacterial small subunit ribosomal RNA", at positions 8 to 484 of the family's 1533-position model. The record is from RNAcentral.